RNAcentral lists this ribosomal RNA (402 nucleotides) under Achnanthidium catenatum. Its description in RNAcentral is "partial large subunit ribosomal RNA". It matches the Rfam family "Bacterial large subunit ribosomal RNA", at positions 2084 to 2485 of the family's 2925-position model. Lineage: Eukaryota; Bacillariophyta; Bacillariophyceae; Cocconeidales; Achnanthidiaceae. The record is from RNAcentral.
AAAGACCCUAUGAAGCUUUACUGUAACUUGAAAUUGAAAUUGGACUUUAUUUGCGCAGUAUAGGUGGGAGGCUGUGAAAAGAAUCUUGCGGGAUUUUUGGAGCCAUCAGUGAGAUACCACUCUUGUAAUGUUAGAUUUCUAACUUUGUAUCAUUAUCUGGUCAAAGAACAGUUUCAGGCGGGCAGUUUGACUGGGGCGGUCGCCUCCUAAACGGUAACGGAGGCGCACAAAGGUUUCCUCUGAACGGGUAGAAAUCGUAUCUAGAGUGUAAAGGCAUAAGGAAGCUUGACUGUGAGACCUACAAGUCGAGCAGGGACGAAAGUCGGUCUUAGUGAUCUGACGGUGCUGAGUGGAAAGGCCGUCACUCAACGGAUAAAAGUUACUCUAGGGAUAACAGGCUGA